GAUGAACGCUAGCUAUAGGCUUAACACAUGCAAGUCGAGGGGAAACGGCAUUAUGUGCUUGCACAUUUUGGACGUCGACCGGCGCACGGGUGAGUAUCGCGUAUCCAACCUGCCCUUUACUUGGGGAUACCCCGUUGAAAGACGGCCUAAUACCCGAUGUAAUUCAUUGAUGGCAUCAGAUAUGAAUAAAAGAUUUAUCGGUAAAGGAUGGGGAUGCGUCUGAUUAGCUUGUUGGUGAGGUAAGGGCUCACCAAGGCGACGAUCAGUAGGGGUUCUGAGAGGAAGGUCCCCCACAUUGGAACUGAGACACGGUCCAAACUCCUACGGGAGGCAGCAGUGAGGAAUAUUGGUCAAUGGACGGAAGUCUGAACCAGCCAAGUAGCGUGCAGGAAGACGGCCCUAUGGGUUGUAAACUGCUUUUAUACGAGAAUAAUUUGAUGCACGUGUGCGUUAUUGCAUGUAUCGUAUGAAUAAGGACCGGCUAAUUCCGUGCCAGCAGCCGCGGUAAUACGGAAGGUCCAGGCGUUAUCCGGAUUUAUUGGGUUUAAAGGGAGUGUAGGCGGUUUGUUAAGCGUGUUGUGAAAUUUAGGUGCUCAACAUUUAACUUGCAGCGCGAACUGUCAGACUUGAGUACACGCAACGUAUGCGGAAUUCAUGGUGUAGCGGUGAAAUGCUUAGAUAUCAUGAAGAACUCCGAUUGCGAAGGCAGCAUACGGGAGUGUAACUGACGCUUAAGCUCGAAGGUGCGGGUAUCGAACAGG
Molecule: ribosomal RNA, 761 nt
Filed under: uncultured Prevotella sp.
Lineage: Bacteria; Pseudomonadati; Bacteroidota; Bacteroidia; Bacteroidales; Prevotellaceae
Description: bacterial SSU rRNA
Rfam family: Bacterial small subunit ribosomal RNA
Source: RNAcentral